AGGGAUGUAGCGCAGCUUGGUAGCGCCCUUGUUUUGGGUACAAAAUAAAAUGUCACGGGUUCAAAUCCUGUCAUCCCUA
This 79-nucleotide transfer RNA is filed under the name Jatropha curcas. RNAcentral describes it as "tRNA-Pro". It matches the Rfam family "tRNA". Rfam says of the family: Transfer RNA (tRNA) molecules are approximately 80 nucleotides in length. Their secondary structure includes four short double-helical elements and three loops (D, anti-codon, and T loops). Further hydrogen bonds mediate the characteristic L-shaped molecular structure. tRNAs have two regions of fundamental functional importance: the anti-codon, which is responsible for specific mRNA codon recognition, and the 3' end, to which the tRNAs corresponding amino acid is attached (by aminoacyl-tRNA synthetases). tRNAs cope with the degeneracy of the genetic code in two manners: having more than one tRNA (with a specific anti-codon) for a particular amino acid; and 'wobble' base-pairing, i.e. permitting non-standard base-pairing at the 3rd anti-codon position. The record is from RNAcentral. Lineage: Eukaryota; Viridiplantae; Streptophyta; Magnoliopsida; Malpighiales; Euphorbiaceae.